This 406-nucleotide ribosomal RNA is filed under the name uncultured bacterium. RNAcentral's name for it is "partial 16S ribosomal RNA". It matches the Rfam family "Bacterial small subunit ribosomal RNA", at positions 29 to 526 of the family's 1533-position model. The record is from RNAcentral.
AUUGAACGCUGGCGGCAGGCCUAACACCUGCAAUUCGAACGCGUGGCGGACUGGUGAGUAAUUUCUGGGAAACUGCCUGACGGAGGGGGUUAACUGCUGGAAAAGGUAGCUAAUACCGCUUUCCAUCAGGUGUGCCCAGGUGGAAUGAGCUUGUUGGUGGGGUAUAGGUCCACCAGUGCGACGAUCACUAGCUGGUCUGCGAGGGUGACCAGGCAAACUGAAACUGAGACACGGUCCGGGAUCCGACGGGAGGCAGCGGAGGGGAAGAUGGGACAAUGGGCGAAAGCCUGAUGCAGGCAUGCCGCGUGUGUGAAGAAGGCCUUCGGGUUGUAAAGUACGAUAAGCGGGGAGGCGUUACCCGCAGAAGGAGCACCGGCGAACACCGGGCCAGCAGCCGCGGUAAUAC